CACUUGUGAUGGAACAUGAUGGAGGAUGUGAGAAAAAGAAUGUAUAUGUGUAACUAGGUCACUUUGCUGUACAGCAGAAAUUGACAGAACAUUGUAAAUCAACUAUAAUAAAAUUUUUUUUAAGUACUGGGGAAAAAACUCCUGACACUAAACCUUAUCUAUAAAAAACCUUUUCAACCACUUCAUAUUCAUUAUUUUAAGUUUUUGGAGCACAUCUGAUAUUUGCGUCAAAAGAUGAAUUCUUCUUGCAUCAGGACAUAACAGAUAUGUGAUUUAUAGGAGUAUUAAAGACUCCUGCUCAUGUUCUAACCAGAAAAACAUUAACUGAAUCCAUCCUUUGGGUCUUUGAUAAAAUUACCUGUACAAAGCAGUUUAGAUCACUGAUUUAAUACUAAAGGAAGGACUGAAGAGAAGGAAGGGGACAAACGAUGCUAAGUUUCAUACACCUGCACACACCUGAGCCAGUAUUUUAAGCUUCAUCCAUUUGCUUCCUAAAUUCUUUUCUGAAAGGUAGAUUCUUAUAUACUGAUAUAGUGUAUCACUGAUUAUACCGAUUGUUCAAGACACAUGAGAUGAUUAGAAAGCUCUGCAUUUAUUUUAUACAUGAGAGAAAAAUGAAGCAACACAUCACAAGCAUUUCUUUAUGGAUGGUAAUAUUUAGAAUGAUACUAAAGUAGGCACUGAAAUUGUUUUUGUUUUUUGCUCUUUAGGGACCUGCACAGAUGGAGUUUCCCAAGCUAGGGGUUGAACUAGAGCUACAACUGCUGGCCUACACUACAGCCCACAGCAAUGUGAAAUCCGAGCUGUUUUUGCAACCUACAGCACAGCUCAUGGCAAUGCCGACCCUUAACCCACAGAGCAAGGCCAGGGAUCGAACCUGCAUCCUCCUGGAUCCUAGUUGGGCUCCUUAAUCGCCAAGCCACAAAGGGAAUUCCCUGUUUGUUUAAUGAAUGGAUUUAAGGAAGGAUAUUAAAUAAGUACUCAUCUUUUGGUUAAUAAAAAUCCUCAGAUAUGGCAGAAAUCAUGAAUUUUUGACAAUGCGUGAAGUGUGAGAAGCACCACUACAGAGGAUGAUGGGGCUUUUAUCCUUUCUACAUCCUCAAUGAUCAUUGCAGUUCUUGCUUACAACAUCGCAGAUGUGCUUCCAGUUUUAGAUUGCAUCACAUUUUCUUCCCUGACCUAGUUCCUCUAACUCCUGACUCUCCAGUAAAUGAGUGAGUUACGGUUGGGUGAUUAGAUAGAUAGAUGAAAAGAUGACUUUUACAGACUACGGCGUAUUUCACAUCUAAAUCCGAGUAGCUGAUGGGCUACUAUAAGUUAUUAUGUCUCAAAGAAAAGAAGUGUCACACAACACUGCAGCUCAUAGAAGGCCAGAAUAGAGCUGAUUUUCUUUUAUAACCAAACAGGGCUUUGAACAUGGCAUGACAUGACAAAUAACCACCCCCGCUCUCUUAGCAUGUGGCUAACUCUUCUACCAGCCACAAGAGCUACCAUCUCUUUGAUUGGCAUUCUUUGCAAAAUCACCUCACUCUGCAGUUUCUGAGCAUUUGGAAGGAUGACAAAGGUUUCAGCUUAGUUUUAGCUAGAGCGGCAGAUUCAGAAAAAGAAAACCAAAAGGAGAGAAAGCAGUAUUCAUCCACUGAUAAAUAAUUCAGGGUAUGCUGUAGGCAGGGCACUGUUCCUGACAUAGACACCUUCCUUUGUCACAGCAGGUAAAUAGUGAGACAAGAAGUUCCAGUGAUUUUGAAAGGCUGCCACCCAAAGCAAAUGACACCUUCACCAUCACUUAUUCCAACUACUUACUAUGAAAAUUUUCAGUCAUACAGAAGAAAUAGAGUAUAGCAACCAGCCUUAUACUCAUCACCCAGAUUCCAUAAUGGUUAUAAUGGUGUAAUGGUCUUGCUGUUUUUUUCCUAUUUUUUUCUUCCUGUAUCAUUUAAAAAUAAAUUGCAAAAAGAUAUCAGGAUGGUGAAGUAGGAGGAUGAGGAAUUCACCCCUCCCCGCACCCUCCAUGAAUACAUCAAAAAUACAUCUCUACAUGUGGAGCAAUUUUCACUGAAAACUAACUGGAGACUGACAGAAUGACUCUUGUAGAACCAAGGCCGUAAGAAAGAUCCAUACAGAAUUGGGUAGGAAGGGAAGAAGCAGCAAUCAGGUCAAGACCUGAUUGACCUGAGCCCCAGGGAAGGGACUCAGAAGAGGAGGGGGAUUACAUGGGCAGAGAUCCCCCCUGGGGAGUAAGCAGUUCAAGCCAUGUAUUGACCACACCAGCCCUUGGGUAGGGUCUGACAUGGGGAAGAUAAAUCCCCUAGGCUGUCUGGAAAGCCAAUAGGACUAACAGGAGGAAUGUGGGAAGCCUGUACUCUGCCUGUGAGGAGCAUGUACAUGCUUGCUUACUCCCAAAACAAGGCAGAGAGGGGGCAGAUUGAAACUGCCUGGGAUUCUGGCAGGUUUCUUGCAACUGCCCUGGCACACAAGCCAGCCUGAGCUGAGUGCUUGCACCAGCCCUGCCUGCUCUGCAGCACAGAGCCACAGUGAGUGAGGGCUGCACUGGCCAAGGGGAGAGUCAGCUGUGAGGGAUGAUGGUGGCUUGGACCUGGAAUGGCUUCUGAGUGGGGAGGGGGAGACCAUGAACUCAUGUUCAUGGAGGUAGUGCAUCAGAAGCCAUCUGGGGCCCUGACUGUGGUCAUGGCCACCACAGCCUGGCUCAUGCCAAACACCAGCACCAGUUCCUCUUGCUCCAGCACUGCUCGCUCCCCUCUGGGAAAAGGAAUCAGUGCUGGGAUAGUGGAGAGAACAUAUUUAAAGGAAACAGAGCUAGUUAGCCCUGGCUCUCAGGGCUUCUGCUCCAGCAAUUGGGACUUGCUGGCCCCUAAGCACAAGAGAAGCCCUGGCUCAAACCUGGUGCUGGCUCUAGCCCCUUCAACUCCAGCUCACCCCCUACCAAGGUGAUAGCUAACAGCACACUCUGGAGAAAGGGGUGGAAAAUGUAUUUGAUGAAAUUAUGGCUGAAAACUUCCCAAAACUGAAGAAGGAAACAUAUCCAGGUACAGGAAGCACAGCAUAUCCCAAACAAGAUGAACCCAAACACACCCACACCAAGAAAUAUCAUAAUUAAAAUAACAAAGGUUAAAGAGAGGAUUCUAAAGAUAGCAAGAGAAAAAUAAAAGAGUCAUAUAUACAAGGGGACCCCCACAUAAAAUGAUAAAUGUUUUUUUCUGUAGAAACUUUGCAGGCCAGAAGGGAGUGGCAUGAUAUAUUUAAAGAGCUGAAAGGGAAAAUCCUGCAACCUAGGAUACUCUGCCUAGUAAUACUAUAAUUUAGAACUGAAGGAGAGAUAAAGAACUUCUCAGACAAAUGAAAACUAAGAGUUCACCAAUACUAAACCUACCCUAAAAGAAAAGUUAAAGGUUCUUCUAAAUAGAAAAGAAAAGGCUAUAAGAAGAAACACCCAUAGGAAAGGGAAAAUCCCACUAGUAAAGGCAAAUAUACAUGAAAGGAUCAACCCCUUAAAAAGGCUAGUACAAAGAUUGAAAGGCAAAAAAUGUAAAAUCAACUAUAAUAAUCAGUAAUGUAUAAACAUAAAGGUUUAAAAUGACAUCAAAAAGACAAAAUGUGUGAGAGAGGAGUAAAUAGUGUAGAUCCUUUAUAAAGUGCUUGAAUUUAAAUGACUAUCAGUUUAAAACAAGUAGAUAUAAUUUUAGGUCAACAUAUAUGAAUGAACCCCAUGGUAACCACACCAAAACCUACAACAGAUGCACAAAAGCUAGAGAGAAAGUAAUACCAGCAUGCCAUUAAAGAAAAAUCAACAGAGAAUUCUCAUCAUGGCUCAGCAGAAAGAACCUGACUAGGUUCAAUCCCUGGCCUCACUCAGUGGGUUAAGGAUCCGGUGUUGCAAUGAGCUGUGGUGUAGGUCGCAGAUGGGGCUCAGAUCCCACGUUGCUGUGGCAUAGGCCAGCAGCUACAGCUUCAAUUCUGCCCCUAGCCUGAGAACCUCCAUAUACUAUGGGUGUAGCCCUAAAAAGACAAAAACAAAACAACAACAACAACAAAAUCAACAAAUCAAACCACAAAGGAAGAAACUAAAAGAAGAACAGAGAGGAACAACAAAACAACCAGAAAACAAGUAACAAAAAGGGUAAUUAGUAUAUACCUAUCUAUAAUCACUGUGUCAAUGGACCAAAAAUGCUCCAAUCAAAAGAUAUAAGGUGGUUGAUUAGAUAAAGAACUAAGACCCAUUUAUAUGCUGCUUACAAAGAGACUCACUUUAGAGAUAAAGACACACAGAGAGUGAAAGUGAAGGGAUGGGAAAAGAUAUUUCAUGCAAAUGGAAACAGGAAGACAGUGGGAGUAGCAAUAUACACAUCAAACAAAAUCAACUUGAAACAAAGUGAGACUAUAACAAAAGACAAGGUCAUUGUACAAUGAUGAAGGGAUCAAUACAAGGAAAGGAUAUAACACUUGUUAACAUAUGUGCAUCUAAUACGGGAACACCUGAAUACAUAAAGCAAAUAUUAACAGACAUCCAAGGGGGAAACCAACAAUAACACAAAAACAGUAGAGACCUUUAACAUCCCACUUACAUCCCUGGACAGAGGAUCCAGCAGAAAAUCAAUAAGGAAACAGCAGUCUUAAUGGAAAGUUUAGACCACCUGGACUAUUAGAUGCCUAUGAGACAUCUCAUCCCAAAACAGCAGAAUACACAUGCUUUUCAAGUGCAUAUGGAACGUUCUCCAGGAUAAAUCAUGUGCUUGGCCACAAAAACAAGUCUCAACAAAGAUGAGAGGACAGAAAUUACAUCAAGCAUUUUUAAUAGCACAAUAGUAUGAAACUAGAAAUCAAUUAUGGGAAGAAAAAUGGGAAGAACACAAACUGAACAACAUAGUUUGUGGAGACUAAACAACAUACUAUUAAAAAAAAAAAAAGAAAAAGAAAAGAAAAACAAAGAAAAAAGGAGGAGUUCCCAUUGUGGUGCAGCAGAAACGAAUCCAACUAGCAUCCAUGAGGAUGCAGGUUUGAUCCAUGGCCUCACUCAGUGGGUCAGGGAUCUAGCAUUGCUAUGAACUAUGGUGUAGGUUGCAGACAUGGCUGGGAUCCCAGGUUGCUGUGGUGUAGGUUGGCAACUGUGGCUCCAACUGGACCCCUAGCCUGGGAAAUUCCAUAUGCCGUGGAUGUGGCCCUAAAAAGAAAAACAAAAA
Molecule: long non-coding RNA, 5198 nt
Filed under: Sus scrofa (pig)
Lineage: Eukaryota; Metazoa; Chordata; Mammalia; Artiodactyla; Suidae
Description: lncRNA (ENSSSCG00060056234.1)
Source: RNAcentral